GUGGGGGAUAUUGCACAAUGGGGGAAACCCUGAUGCAGCGACGCCGCGUGAAGGAAGACGUACUUCGGUAUGUAAACUUCUAUCAGCAGGGAAGAAGAUGACGGUACCUGACUAAGAAGCCCCGGCUAACUACGUGCCAGCAGCCGCGGUAAUACGUAGGGGGCAAGCGUUAUCCGGAUUUACUGGGUGUAAAGGGAGCGUAGACGGUGAAGCGAGUCUGAUGUGAAAACCCGGGGCUCAACUCCGGGAUUGCAUUGGAAACUGUUUUACUUGAGUGCUGGAGGGGCAAGCGGAAUUCCUGGUGUAGCGGUGAAAGGCGUAGAUAUCAGGAAGAACACCGGUGGCGAAGGCGUCUUGCUGGACAGUAACUGACGUUGAGGCUCGAAAGCGUGGGGAGCAAACAGGAUUAGAAACCCUUGUAGUCC
Molecule: ribosomal RNA, 425 nt
Filed under: uncultured bacterium
Lineage: Bacteria
Description: partial 16S ribosomal RNA
Rfam family: Bacterial small subunit ribosomal RNA
Source: RNAcentral